AGGAGGGGAAACGGUCCCGGUGGGCCGGCCGGGCUUCAAACCCGGUGGGUGGCGCUCAGCGCUGCCGGGUGGGUUCGACUCCCAUUCCCCUCCGCCA
Molecule: transfer RNA, 97 nt
Filed under: Pseudaquabacterium pictum
Lineage: Bacteria; Pseudomonadati; Pseudomonadota; Betaproteobacteria; Burkholderiales; Sphaerotilaceae
Description: Aquabacterium pictum tRNA-Sec
Rfam family: Selenocysteine transfer RNA
Source: RNAcentral